CGCAGCCGCGGUAAUUCCAGCUCCAAUAGCGUAUAUUAAAGUUGUUGCAGUUAAAAAGCUCGUAGUUGAAUUUCGGGAUCAAGUCGUCGGUCGUGCCUCGGUACGCACUGGUGACAUUGGUUUCUCCCUUCUGAAGAACCUUGAUGUCAUUAAUUUGGUGUCUUGGGGAAUCAGGACUGUUACUUUGAAAAAAUUAGAGUGUUUAAAGCAGGCUCACGCUUGAAUACAUUAGCAUGGAAUAAUGAAAUAGGACGUUUGAUUCUAUUUUGUUGGUUUCUAGGAUCGACGUAAUGAUUAAUAGGGAUAGUUGGGGGCAUUAGUAUUCAAUUGUCAGAGGUGAAAUUCUUGGAUUUAUUGAAGGCUAACUACUGCGAAAGCAUUUGCCAAGGAUGUUUUCAUUAAUCAAGAACGAAAGUUAGGGGAUCGAAGACGAAUCAGAUACCGUCGUAGUCUUAACCAUAAACUAUGCCGACUAGGGAUCGGAUGAUGUUAAUUUUUUAAUGACUCAUUCGGCGCCUUA
This 520-nucleotide ribosomal RNA is filed under the name uncultured Glomeromycotina. RNAcentral describes it as "SSU rRNA". It matches the Rfam family "Eukaryotic small subunit ribosomal RNA", at positions 569 to 1090 of the family's 1831-position model. Lineage: Eukaryota; Fungi; Glomeromycota. The record is from RNAcentral.